This is a non-coding RNA of Phrynosoma platyrhinos (Desert horned lizard), 72 nucleotides long. The record is from the annotation of a GenBank genome assembly. NCBI's taxonomy places the organism in Eukaryota, Metazoa, Chordata, Lepidosauria, Squamata, Phrynosomatidae.
GGCAGAGUGGUGUAGUAGUUUGAGUGUUGGACUAUGACUCUGGAGACUAGGGUUCGAAUCUCGGUUCAGCCA